GCGGGUGUGGUGAAAUUGGUAGACACGCUAGAUUUAGGUUCUAGUGCCUCAGGCGUGGGGGUUCAAGUCCCUCCACCCGCACCA
RNAcentral lists this transfer RNA (84 nucleotides) under Maritalea myrionectae. RNAcentral's name for it is "tRNA-Leu". It matches the Rfam family "tRNA". From Rfam's summary of the family: Transfer RNA (tRNA) molecules are approximately 80 nucleotides in length. Their secondary structure includes four short double-helical elements and three loops (D, anti-codon, and T loops). Lineage: Bacteria; Pseudomonadati; Pseudomonadota; Alphaproteobacteria; Hyphomicrobiales; Devosiaceae. The record is from RNAcentral.